ACACAGGAGACGCGUGAAGAUGGAGAUCUUGAGUCCGAGGCCAGCCUGAGUCGCGUGGUAGGACUCUGGCUCUGAACAAAACAAAGAAAAUGGAGUCUGAUGCUGGCUUCUCAGGAAGCUGGAUGUCACCCUGAGGCUUCUGUGCAAGCUGAGGCGGUUACCCACUGUGUCCACGUGGUGUCGCUAUCGAUCACGCUCGGAUUCCCGCAGCCACACCAGGUUAUACUGGGUCACUGGAAUUUACCACCAGACUCCCAGGUCUCCUAGCUCCUGGCUGCCUCUUAGAUGGAUGGUGGGAAUGAUGGACUCCAUGGCUCAUCAUGAAACGUGCAAGAUUUCAGGACACCUUUCCUUCCCCCAGAAAGAUCCAGCGUUGGAUCCAGCUCCCAAGGAGUCUGUCUUCUGGGGUCCCCAGGGAGUGCACCCCUGGGAAAGAGAUGACUCUGUGAGCCAAUUUCUCUCUUGAGGAUGAUCACAGUCAGGUGCCCCGGAGUUGACCUCCUCAAACCCAUGGUUUCUCUACCUGAGUUGCUCCCCUAUACCUUGGGAAGGUGUACUAAGAGGCAAGAGUGGACCAAGACAGGUCCCAGCCACACCCCAAUAGAUGCUCAGGAAUCUAGGUGCUCACAAGAAUCAGUUCCUAUCUUUCCCGGCCCUUCCUUGGAACCUUCCAGAAGGGAGCAACAUGACUGUACC
This is a non-coding RNA of Peromyscus maniculatus bairdii (prairie deer mouse), 696 nucleotides long. The record is from RefSeq and is a predicted model, not a curated record. Lineage: Eukaryota; Metazoa; Chordata; Mammalia; Rodentia; Cricetidae.